ACACGAGGCCUCCACUGCGGUUGCGCAGCCUGCCGAAGAGCGUGCGGCUUCUACUGCGGCUGCGCAAGCUCGACGCGCGCACUCUUGUCUGCUUACGAGGGCUCCUCCCUUCAGCUUUGGUCCCUCGGGGCGUCUGGGCAGCCUACGCUUUCCGUAAACACUGGGAUGCCGGAGCUCAGGCAUCCCAGACAGGAGGAAGUGUGUACUCACACCAGCCAGGAGGAAACAAGCCUGCCUGGGAGGACAGACGAUCAGCCCUGGCUGUCCCUCAGGAGCGGGGGUCCUCCAAGGCACACUGCCCACUGGGUCAAGGAGUGUCCAGGAGGAGUUAGAAGCAUGACCCAUCUGCCUGGCACCAGCACCUGGGGCUGCCAGGCAGCCACCCCUGCAGCUGUGUUGACAGGGCCUGGCAGAGGGACUGACCCACCUUUGGAAAAUGACACCAGCAAUAUCAGGAUGUGUCAACUGGAUUUAUGUUAAGAAAAUAGGAUUUUUGGUGUUCCUCUGUUUCCCAAAGUUUGAGACACUUUCAGACACUCUGCUUUGCGGUUGUGGC
Molecule: antisense RNA, 556 nt
Filed under: Pan troglodytes (chimpanzee)
Lineage: Eukaryota; Metazoa; Chordata; Mammalia; Primates; Hominidae
Rfam family: TTC28 antisense RNA 1 conserved region 3 (bases 156-336)
Source: RNAcentral